UACGUAGGGUGCAAGCGUUGUCCGGAAUUACUGGGCGUAAAGAGCUCGUAGGUGGUUUGUCGCGUUGUCCGUGAAAACUCACAGCUCAACUGUGGGCGUGCGGGCGAUACGGGCAGACUGGAGUACUGCAGGGGAGACUGGAAUUCCUGGUGUAGCGGUGGAAUGCGCAGAUAUCAGGAGGAACACCGGUGGCGAAGGCGGGUCUCUGGGCCGAUACUGACGCUGAGGAGCGAAAGCGUGGGGAGCAAACAGG
Molecule: ribosomal RNA, 253 nt
Filed under: uncultured bacterium
Lineage: Bacteria
Description: partial 16S ribosomal RNA
Rfam family: Bacterial small subunit ribosomal RNA
Source: RNAcentral